UACGUAGGGUGCGAGCGUUGUCCGGAAUUAUUGGGCGUAAAGAGCUUGUAGGCGGUUUGUCGCGUCUGCUGUGAAAUCUCAAGGCUCAACCUUGAGCUUGCAGUGGGUACGGGCAGACUAGAGUGUGGUAGGGGAGACUGGAAUUCCUGGUGUAGCGGUGAAAUGCGCAGAUAUCAGGAGGAACACCGGUGGCGAAGGCGGGUCCCUGGGCCGAUACUGACGCUGAGGAGCGAAAGCGUGGGGAGCGAACAGG
This 253-nucleotide ribosomal RNA is filed under the name uncultured bacterium. RNAcentral describes it as "partial 16S ribosomal RNA". It matches the Rfam family "Bacterial small subunit ribosomal RNA", at positions 524 to 776 of the family's 1533-position model. The record is from RNAcentral.